RNAcentral lists this ribosomal RNA (541 nucleotides) under Hepatozoon sp. Its description in RNAcentral is "bacterial SSU rRNA". It matches the Rfam family "Eukaryotic small subunit ribosomal RNA", at positions 174 to 707 of the family's 1831-position model. Lineage: Eukaryota; Apicomplexa; Hepatozoidae. The record is from RNAcentral.
ACGUUCUCAACGGUUUCAGAAGAGGAGUAUUUAUUAGAUAAAAAGCCAAUGCAUGCUUUUAAAGUAUGGAAUUUGGUGAUUUACAAUAACUUAGCAAAUCGCAUAGCGAAAGCAGGCGAUAAAUCAUUCAAGUAUCUGACCUAUCAGCUUUCGACGGUAAGGUAUUGGCUUACCGUGGCAGUGACGGUUAACGGGGGAUUAGGGUUCGAUUCCGGAGAGGGAGCCUGAGAAACGGCUACCACAUCUAAGGAAGGCAGCAGGCGCGCAAAUUACCCAAUUCUAACAACAUAAGGGAGGUAGUGACAAGAAAUAUCAAUGCAAGGCAGUUAAAAUGUUUUGUAAUUGGGAUGAUAGAAAUUUAAACACUUUUUAAAAUAUCAAUUGGAGGGCAAGUCUGGUGCCAGCAGCCGCGGUAAUUCCAGCUCCAGUAGCGUAUAUUAAAAUUGUUGCAGUUAAAAAGCUCGUAGUUUUAUUUCUGCUAUGGACAACCGGUCUGCUUUGAACAAAAGUGGUAUCUUGGUGUGUUUUUAGCAAUAAUAUC